GACGAACGCUGGCGGCGCGCCUAACACAUGCAAGUCGAACGGAGCUUGCUUGUCAGAUCCUUUCGGGGUGACGAUUUGUAAGCUUAGUGGCGAACGGGUGAGUAACACGUGAGUAACCUGCCCCAGAGUGGGGGACAACAGUUGGAAACGACUGCUAAUACCGCAUAAGCCCACGGAACCGCAUGGUUCAGAGGGAAAAGGAGCAAUUCGCUCUGGGAUGGACUCGCGUCCGAUUAGCUGGAUGGUGAGGUAACGGCCCACCAUGGCGACGAUCGGUAGCCGGACUGAGAGGUUGAUCGGCCACAUUGGGACUGAGACACGGCCCAG
RNAcentral lists this ribosomal RNA (327 nucleotides) under uncultured bacterium. Its description in RNAcentral is "bacterial SSU rRNA". It matches the Rfam family "Bacterial small subunit ribosomal RNA", at positions 28 to 334 of the family's 1533-position model. The record is from RNAcentral.